GUCAAAUAUUGGAUUGAUAAAUUCUAAUAAUUUUAGAUUGUCAAUCUUAGGAAGAUGGUCUAAAAUAAAUUUAAUAUUUUAUUAUCAAUUUUUAAAAAAUAUUUCAUAAUUUUAUUUUUUAUCAAUUUUAUCUUUCCAAUAUUAAGAAGAUAAUUCAUAAAUCCAUUGACAAACCCUUGUUUGCUAAAAAUUUCUCUUAUUUGUUCUUCUAAAAUGC
Molecule: long non-coding RNA, 217 nt
Filed under: Elaeis guineensis (African oil palm)
Lineage: Eukaryota; Viridiplantae; Streptophyta; Magnoliopsida; Arecales; Arecaceae
Description: long non-coding RNA (EGUI_LNC078405)
Source: RNAcentral